RNAcentral lists this ribosomal RNA (465 nucleotides) under uncultured bacterium. Its description in RNAcentral is "partial 16S ribosomal RNA". It matches the Rfam family "Bacterial small subunit ribosomal RNA", at positions 338 to 795 of the family's 1533-position model. The record is from RNAcentral.
CCUACGGGCGGCAGCAGUAGGGAAUUUUCCACAAUGGGCGAAAGCCUGAUGGAGCAACGCCGCGUGGGUGAAGAAGGUCUUCGGAUCGUAAAACCCUGUUGUUAGAGACGAAAGUGCGUGAGAGUAACUGUUCACGUUUCGACGGUAUCUAACCAGCAAGCCACGGCUAACUACGUGCCAGCCGCCGCGGUAAUACGUAGGUGGCAAGCGUUAUCCGGAUUUAUUGGGCGGAAAGGGAACGCAGGCGGUCUUUUAAGUCGGAUGUGAAAGCCUUCGGCUUAACCGGAGUAGUGCAUUGGAAACUGGGAGACUUGAGUGCAGAAGAGGAGAGUGGAACUCCAUGUGUAGCGGUGAAAGGCGUAGAUAUAUGGAAGAACACCAGUGGCGAAAGCGGCUCUCUGGUCUGUAACUGACGCUGAGGUUCGAAAGCGUGGGUAGCAAACAGGAUUAGAUACCCUAGUAGUC